RNAcentral lists this unclassified non-coding RNA (707 nucleotides) under Hevea brasiliensis (rubber tree). The record is from RNAcentral. Lineage: Eukaryota; Viridiplantae; Streptophyta; Magnoliopsida; Malpighiales; Euphorbiaceae.
AGGAAUUCCAAAUCACACCCAAAAAGAGAAAUGUUUUUCUGUUUACAUUUGAUCAUGAACUUGAUACUCAAAUGUGUUGCGAAAUACCACUUUGUGUGUUCAUAAUCAAUUGUUGGUGCUCCAGGAAUGGUUCUCUCACAUUCCUUUCAAUGAUAUGGAGUUCACCCAAUAGCCUUUUUGGUUACAAAUCCAUGGCUUGGCUCCUAACUAGUAGAACAUGGAAAAUGCCAGGAUGAUUGGAGAUUUGGUGGGCAAAUUCUUGGAUGUUGAUCUCACGGAAGACGAGAUGUUGGGCUAUCUAAUCUUCGUGCGAGUAAGAACUCUUCUUUCUUUGGACAAGCCUCUUCUCCCAUGACUUCAAAAUAGGAAACAAGACGGUUCCCAGCAAUGGGUUUAGUUGAAAUAUGAGAAAUUGCCCAAUUUUUGUUAUCGAUACGGAAUUAUUGGCCAUUUCAAUAAAGAUUGUCCUUUGACAAAAGAUGAAGGAGAAAAUGAGAAGCAUGAUGAUAAUCUUCCUUUUGGACCUUGGCUAAAGACAAACCCAGUUAAUCGCAAUAUAAACCCACUUAAUCUUAAUUGCUCGCAAAAUUCUUCUCCUUCCAAAACCACCCAAGAUCAAACACCACACCUUCAUCUUACCUCUCCCACCGAUACGAUACUCUCGCCACCUCAGAAGGAACCAGGACAGUCCUCGCAAAUGCCUAUCA